This 309-nucleotide long non-coding RNA is filed under the name Sus scrofa (pig). RNAcentral's name for it is "lncRNA (ENSSSCG00045026195.1)". Lineage: Eukaryota; Metazoa; Chordata; Mammalia; Artiodactyla; Suidae. The record is from RNAcentral.
UGGCGGUGCCAGGAGCAAGGAUUCAGUGGCUCAUUUUUUAAUGGGGAAUCUCUUCUUCCCCUUGAUCCUUACGCCUGUGCUAGGGUGGACCCCAUAGUUGCCUGUGGAUUGCUGUGGUGGAGCCUAGCAACUGCCCGGGGCUGGUGCCUAGAGGAUCACAGAUGCAGUUGCAAUGGGGUAACCAGGAACCCUGCAUGGAGGCUGAAACAACCAGAAAUGGAAGUUUUCUGCGAUGCCGUGCCACUGGUGUCCAGAAGUUUAAACCACCCCAACUCUUUUAGACUGGAGACUGCAGAGAACCCAGGAUGA